UUCCGGUUGAUCCUGCCGGACCUGACUGCUAUCGGAUUGAUACUAAGCCAUGCGAGUCAUUGUAGCAAUACAAGGCAUACGGCUCAGUAACGCGUAGUCAACCUAACCUAUGGACGGGAAUAACCUCGGGAAACUGAGAAUAAUGCCCGAUAGAACAUUAUGCCUGGAAUGGUUUAUGUUCCAAAUGAUUUAUCGCCGUAGGAUGGGACUGCGGCCUAUCAGUUUGUUGGUGAGGUAAUGGCCCACCAAGACUAUUACAGGUACGGGCUCUGAGAGGAGUAGCCCGGAGAUGGGUACUGAGACACGGACCCAGGCCCUAUGGGGCGCAGCAGGCGAGAAAACUUUGCAAUGUGCGAAAGCACGACAAGGUUAAUCCGAGUGGUUUCUGCUAAAGGAACCUUUUGUCAGUCCUAGAAACACUGAUGAAUAAGGGGUGGGCAAGUUCUGGUGUCAGCCGCCGCGGUAAAACCAGCACCUCAAGUGGUCAGGAUGAUUAUUGGGCCUAAAGCAUCCGUAGCCGGCUCUGUAAGUUUUCGGUUAAAUCUGUACGCUCAACGUACAGGCUGCCGGGAAUACUGCAAAGCUAGGGAGUGGGAGAGGUAGACGGUACUCGGUAGGAAGGGGUAAAAUCCUUUGAUCUAUUGAUGACCACCUGUGGCGAAGGCGGUCUACCAGAACACGUCCGACGGUGAGGGAUGAAAGCUGGGGGAGCAAACCGGAUUAGAUACCCGGGUAGUCCCAGCUGUAAACUA
Molecule: ribosomal RNA, 752 nt
Filed under: uncultured Nitrososphaerota archaeon
Lineage: Archaea; Thermoproteati; Nitrososphaerota
Description: bacterial SSU rRNA
Rfam family: Archaeal small subunit ribosomal RNA
Source: RNAcentral